GCCUGGGUGGCUCAGUCCGUUGAGCGUCCGACUUCGGCUCAGGUCAUGAUCUCGUGGUCUGUGGGUUCGAGCCCCACGUCAGGCU
Molecule: transfer RNA, 85 nt
Filed under: Felis catus (domestic cat)
Lineage: Eukaryota; Metazoa; Chordata; Mammalia; Carnivora; Felidae
Rfam family: tRNA
About the family: Transfer RNA (tRNA) molecules are approximately 80 nucleotides in length.
Source: Rfam by way of RNAcentral